Molecule: long non-coding RNA, 644 nt
Organism: Coregonus clupeaformis (lake whitefish)
Lineage: Eukaryota; Metazoa; Chordata; Actinopteri; Salmoniformes; Salmonidae
Exons: 3
Source: RefSeq, a predicted model, not a curated record
GCGGCCACUUGAGUAUCUGGUCAAUAUGGAUAAACUGUGGUUCCUUACUCAUGUGUGGAUGAUUGAGGUCUGUGCUGCAGCUUGUUUGGUUCUUUUCUGUCGCGGCUGUGCACAUAAUGAUAUUUAGCGAAAUUAUUUCACUAGUAACGGAGCAUGAUUUGUCAAGUGAUGCAAAUGAUGGUGUCAUACCAAAAGUUCCAAACAAAGCUGCAAAACAUCCACUAGCAGGGUUGAUAGUAGCUAGCAAUGCUAACUAGCUAGCUGGGAACAUUAGCAUUUCUCACAGGUGUGUUUUAUCUAAUGUUACAUUCGAGUUAAAUCUAGUGAUAUGGCACAUAGGAAAGAAGUAUUCCAGUCUAAAGUUCUUCAGAGGCUGUACCCCUUACCUCCCAAGCCUGAGAAAGAACCCAGCUCUCCACCCGCUGAGUUUGUUCUCAAAAAGUCCUCUGUGGAACUAAAAGUAGGCCUAGAGGAGGAGGGCACUAUCACUGUCUCAGGAGAUGGAGGGAUAACACCAUCCUCAUCCCAGCCAGGCAGACGAAUGUACACAGUCCUAACUCCCCCUGCUGAGUACAAGACAGGUGCAGAGGGAUCUGUCAUGCUCUCUCAGCCAGCAGGCAUAAAUACUGUGGAGGACCCAGCUG